GAGCAACAAAGUACAUAGUAAAAUUCAAGCAAAUAUGUGGAUCCUCUCAGAGUUUCACCUCACCCUUGUCCCAUAGGAAACUGUGAAGAAUGAGGAACUUUUCAGAAUUUCUCCAUUAUGACAUAAGGGAGAACGGGAACAAUAUUAACUCAUGACUUCCUUGGUAGCAGAGUUCUGGGAAAAUAUGAAGUAUUCAUAAAUUCAAUCCUCAGAUCAAGAGGCCGUCACAGUGGAUGCUUCAGACAUAUUUCCUGUAUACCUUGCUCUACACGAUGCAAAGUUGGAGAAGAGGAAAAAUAAGAGAGUGCAAUGUUGAUAGUGAUGGUUAUAAAAGACCACAUUGCUUUUGAGAUCACACUACCCAUGAAGGAAGUAAAUGCAAAUUGUUGUGUCAUUUCCCCGAAGGGCUUUUGGAGCACCGCCCACGACAAACUGUAUAUGAAUCAAAGUAUUUGAUUACCUGCUUCCAUUUUUAAAUUUAGAAAGGCUACUUUCUCUUCACAAAUACACAUAUUUCUUUGGCUGAAACAAUGCUGGAAUAUUCCAAGGGGACAUACAAUUUUGAAGAGCUUUGUGUUUCAUCCCUACCAUUAAAAUACUUUUCAUUUUU
Molecule: non-coding RNA, 610 nt
Organism: Rattus norvegicus (Norway rat)
Lineage: Eukaryota; Metazoa; Chordata; Mammalia; Rodentia; Muridae
Source: RefSeq, a predicted model, not a curated record